CGAGGAAGGGCAUAGCAAGCAACGAAAUGCUUCGGGGAGUUGAAAAUAAGCAUAGAUCCGGAGAUUCCCAAAUAGGUCAACCUUUUGAACUGCCCGCUGAAUCCAUGAGCAGGCAAGAG
RNAcentral lists this non-coding RNA (119 nucleotides) under Zea mays. Its description in RNAcentral is "Bacterial large subunit ribosomal RNA". It matches the Rfam family "Bacterial large subunit ribosomal RNA", at positions 47 to 179 of the family's 2925-position model. The record is from Rfam by way of RNAcentral. Lineage: Eukaryota; Viridiplantae; Streptophyta; Magnoliopsida; Poales; Poaceae.